GACGAACGCUGGCGGCGUGCCUAAUACAUGCAAGUCGAGCGGACGGAUGGGAGCUUGCUCCCAGACCGUCAGCGGCGGACGGGUGAGUAACACGUGGGCAACCUGCCUGUAAGACUGGGAUAACUCCGGGAAACCGGGGCUAAUACCGGAUAACUCUUUCCCUCACAUGAGGGAAAGCUGAAAGAUGGCAUCUCGCUAUCACUUACAGAUGGGCCCGCGGCGCAUUAGCUAGUUGGUGAGGUAACGGCUCGCCAAGGCGACGAUGCGUAGCCGACCUGAGAGGGUGAUCGGCCACACUGGGACUGAGACAUGGCCCAGACUCCUACGGGAGGCAGCAGUAGGGAAUCUUCCGCAAUGGACGAAAGUCUGACGGAGCAACGCCGCGUGAGUGAUGAAGGUUUUCGGAUCGUAAAACUCUGUUGUCAGGGAAGAACAAGUACCGGAGUAACUGCCGGUACCUUGACGGUACCUGACCAGAAAGCCACGGCUAACUACGUG
RNAcentral lists this ribosomal RNA (498 nucleotides) under uncultured bacterium. Its description in RNAcentral is "partial 16S ribosomal RNA". It matches the Rfam family "Bacterial small subunit ribosomal RNA", at positions 28 to 507 of the family's 1533-position model. The record is from RNAcentral.